GCAGUCGAACGGCAGCACGGGAGCAAUCCUGGUGGCGAGUGGCGAACGGGCUGAGUAAUAUAUCGGAACGUGCCCAGUCGUGGGGGAUAACGCACGAAAGCUGUGCUAAUACCGCAUACGAUCUACGGAUGAAAGCGGGGGAUCGCAAGACCUCGCGCGAUUGGAGCGGCCGAUAUCAGAUUAGCUAGUUGGUGAGGUAAAGGCUCACCAAGGCGACGAUCUGUAGCUGGUCUGAGAGGACGACCAGCCACACUGGAACUGAGACACGGUCCAGACUCCUACGGGAGGCAGCAGUGGGGAAUUUUGGACAAUGGGCGCAAGCCUGAUCCAGCAAUGCCGCGUGCAGGAUGAAGGCCUUCGGGUUGUAAACUGCUUUUGUACGGAGCGAAACGGUCUUUCCUAAUACGAGAGGCUAAUGACGGUACCGUAAGAAUAAGCACCGGCUAACUACGUGCCAGCAGCCGCGGUAAUACGUAGGGUGCGAGCGUUAAUCGGAAUUACUGGGCGUAAAGCGUGCGCAGCGGUUAUAUAAGACAGAUGUGAAAUCCCCGGGCUCAACCUGGGACCUGCAUUUGUGACUGUAUAGCUAGAGUACGGUAGAGGGGGAUGGAAUUCCGCGUGUAGCAGUGAAAUGCGUAGAUAUGCGGAGGAACACCGAUGGCGAAGGCAAUCCCCUGGACCUGUACUGACGCUCAUGCACGAAAGCGUGGGGAUCAAACAGGAUUAGAUACCCUGGUAGUCCACGCCCUAAAACGAUGU
RNAcentral lists this ribosomal RNA (759 nucleotides) under uncultured bacterium. RNAcentral describes it as "bacterial SSU rRNA". It matches the Rfam family "Bacterial small subunit ribosomal RNA", at positions 57 to 812 of the family's 1533-position model. The record is from RNAcentral.